This 270-nucleotide long non-coding RNA is filed under the name Sorghum bicolor (sorghum). Its description in RNAcentral is "long non-coding RNA (SBIC_LNC001938)". Lineage: Eukaryota; Viridiplantae; Streptophyta; Magnoliopsida; Poales; Poaceae. The record is from RNAcentral.
CAGAUAUAAGCAAAAUGAGUUGUUCUUGAUCUUGAACAAAAUGGGUUGUUUCUGUUCUUGAUCUUCGGCAAAAUGGGUUGUUCUUGAUCUUGAGGUUAUUCUUUGUUCUUAUCUUGAGCAUCUAUUUUUAAAAACAUUCCAUGUUGACCUUGCUCGAUAGUCCUACUCUGCUCAGCCUGAGCUCCUCACCAUGGCUGAGCUAAUGCCCUUUGCCACACCCUAUUGGUCGUCACUGUAGCCAAGGUCGACAUUGCCUACUACUUUGCUUUG